Molecule: ribosomal RNA, 433 nt
Filed under: uncultured bacterium
Lineage: Bacteria
Description: partial 16S ribosomal RNA
Rfam family: Bacterial small subunit ribosomal RNA
Source: RNAcentral
AACGAACGCUGGCGGCAUGCCUAACACAUGCCAGUCGAACGAGACCUUCGGGUCUAGUGGCGCACGGGUGCGUAACGCGUGGGAACCUGCCCUUAGGUUCGGAAUAACUCCCCGAAAGGGGUGCUAAUACCGGAUAAUGUCUUCGGACCAAAGAUUUAUCGCCUUUGGAUGGGCCCGCGUUGGAUUAGCUAGUUGGUAGGGUAAAAGCCUACCAAGGCGACGAUCCAUAGCUGGUCCGAGAGGAUGAUCAGCCACACUGGGACUGAGACACGGCCCAGACUCCUACGGGAGGCAGCAGUGGGGAAUAUUGGACAAUGGGCGAAAGCCUGAUCCAGCAAUGCCGCGUGAGUGAUGAAGGCCUUAGGGUUGUAAAGCUCUUUUACCCGGGAUGAUAAUGACAGUACCGGGAGAAUAAGCGCCGGCUAACUCCGUG